CAAACCCCCAUUCAUAUCUCUUAAGAAAAAGGCUUCGGAGAGAGAAGUAGCGGACUCAGACUCCAGACUUCACAAGAGAAGAAGAAGAAGAAGAAAACAGCGAGAGAGAGAGAGAGAGAGAGAGAGAGAGAGAGAGAGAGAGACUGCAUUCAUGGCGGAAGGUCAAAAUCCCUUGGCGUCAAGCAGCGACAACGCCGGCAGCGGCGAGAGCGUGAAGCUGUUCGUAGGCCAGGUGCCGAAGCACAUGACGGAGUCUCAGCUCCUCGCGAUGUUCAAGGAAGUCGCUCUUGUCGAGGAAGUCAACAUCAUCAAAGACAAGGCCACCAGAACUUCCAGAGGAUGCUGCUUUUUGAUUUGCCCGUCGAGGCAGGAAGCAGAUAAGGCAGUCAAUGCAUGCCAUAAUAAGCGGACGCUUCCAGGGGCUUCUAGUCCGUUGCAAGUCAAGUAUGCAGAUGGCGAGUUGGAAAGACUAGAACACAAGCUUUUUGUUGGUAUGCUUCCAAAGAAUGUUACUGAUGCUGAAGUUUCUGCUUUAUUUUCAAAAUAUGGAAAUAUCAAAGAUUUACAAAUUCUAAGAGGUUCUCAACAAACAAGCAAAGGUUGUGCUUUUUUGAAGUAUGAGACAAAAGAUCAAGCUCUUGCAGCCCUGGAGGCAAUCAAUGGGAAGUACAAGAUGGAGGGUUCAAGUGUUCCUUUAGUUGUUAAGUGGGCAGAUACAGAAAAAGAAAGGCAAGCUCGAAGAGCUCAGAAAGCUCAGUCUCAAGCUUCUAAUGUGACAAACACUGAUUCAUCACAGCAGUCGUCAUUAUUUGGAGCUCUGCCAAUGGGAUACAUGGCUCCAUAUAAUGGGUUUGGUUAUCAGGCACCUGGCACUUAUGGACUUAUGCAGUAUCCCUUAACUUCAAUGCAAAAUCAACCUGGAUUCCACAAUAUGAUUCCACCUGUUAAUCAGGGAAAUGCAUUGCGUGGAAUCACACCUGAUCUUACCCCAACUAUGGCACCCAGAAAUUUCAGUACAGUGCAAUCCAACUAUUUAGGUUCGGCAUAUCCUGCUGUGCCUGGUCUUCAGUAUCCUGUGGCCUACCCUGGUAGCAUGAUGAACCACAGGCCUUUGGUUGGUUCCCAUGGUUUGACCCAACUUGCAAUGGCAAAUAGUAGCUUGGCAACAUCUUCAAGCAUCAGUACAAGUUCUGGGGCUCAGAUGGAAGGUCCUCCCGGAGCUAAUCUAUUUAUCUAUCAUAUACCUCAAGAAUUUGGUGAUGUGGAGCUUUCGAAUGCUUUUCAGGCAUUUGGUAGGGUAUUAAGUGCUAAGGUCUUUGUCGACAAAGCCACUGGUGUCAGCAAAUGCUUUGGUUUUGUCAGCUAUGACUCACCUGCAUCUGCCCAAGCUGCUAUCAAUAUGAUGAAUGGGUGUCAAUUAGGUGGCAAGAAGUUGAAGGUACAACUUAAGAGAGACAACAAACAGAGUAAACCUUAUUGACAUCUGAAUAGAUGUUUUAUGGGAGCAAGCAGCAUUCUCUGCCGAACAUUGGCCUAUGUGACCGCACUAGUUGGAAUUCACUGCAGCAUCAGCCGUGGUAUGGGGUGGAUGGAAGAUAAUUGUUGGUUAUAUAUAUACUCCAUCCCAUUGUGUCUUAAAGGAUGCUCGAAGGUGCCUUAUUUUCGUACUACAUCUGGUCUAAAGAAUCAAUGAAUGGUGUUGCUGUAACAUUUGUUUGGUUUGGAAGUGUGGCAUUGCUUCAAUCUGCAAGAAAUCAUAGAGGACAUAAUUUUCCAGUUUCAAUGCCAGUCAGGAGCCGAUUGAUGCCAUACUGAUGCACCAAAACCCAACCGUGGUGUAGGCUCACAUGCAUUCUUCUAAUCCUCUUUUGAGAAAUGCUUCAUAUUCUCAAUUUCGUUCACUGUUUUUACGAUCAUCAUCAAUUCUUUUCCUGAUUUCCUUCUCUCUUUUGCAGAUCAACAGAUGAGUUCUGAAUAAAAUUCCCUGUGCAGUGAAAGAAACAUUCCAUCAGAGUCAUUGAUUCUAUUGAAAUACAUGUUUGUCUCCACCUCCUUGAAGUGCAUGGGCCUGGCAGAGGACAGUGAUGGCAGAGAUAAUUUUUUACCACUAAAUCAGAUAGGUACCGAUGUGUAUGCUUGGGCUUCUUUAGAAACGAAAGAAAUCCAAUUCAAGAGAAAUGGCCAAAAUCAAUACCGAUCAGAAAAUUUAAUUCAUAAAACAGGCAAAAAAGAGGUUUCAACAGACUCAAAAACAAAACUAUGUAGCAGCAGAAGCACCGCCAUACAACCAAACAUGCCCAAAGUUCGAACAUACAGCUUCCGGCGCACCACCCAACUGACAUGAAAAGGGUCUCUUCUGGUCCAAUUUCAGUGGAUUUUAGUUCAAAGGCCUUGUGGAAUCCACAUUAAAGAAAUUGGGUGAUGUUUGGUGAAGCUUUGAGAGAGAUGUUGAUCGGAGAUCAGAUGGUCAUAGGAAGGUGCCUCCGCAUGUGAAACUUCACAUGGAUCCCAAUUUAUAUAAUAUUUAUAUGCAUUCUUUGUGGAUAUCCCUAAUUUAUGUUACCAUAUUAGAUAAUGUUUGUAAGCAAUUUCAGUACCAUAUGGAUGACGAAAUUAUUAUUUUAGUGUUUGGACAAAUGAUGUUAUUGUAACAUGCUUUGAUUUGACCAUCUCCUAACCCCCGACUCGUGGGCCCUAUACAGCUCUUAGAUUCGUGGUAUUUAA
Molecule: RNA transcript, 2724 nt
Organism: Magnolia sinica
Lineage: Eukaryota; Viridiplantae; Streptophyta; Magnoliopsida; Magnoliales; Magnoliaceae
Gene name: RNA-binding protein BRN1
Exons: 12
Source: RefSeq, a predicted model, not a curated record